AUUUCUCAAACUUGUCAUUUUUCAUGACAAGGCUUGGACUUGGGGGUUUUGCAGGCUUCAACCCAAUGAAGUUGGCUCCCCUUAAAUGCAUUAGCCGGAAAACUCUCCGUCUAUUGGUGUGAUAAUUAUCUACAUCGUGGACAGGCAGUAAUGGGUUUUCUGCUUCAAACCGUCCUUAGGGACAACAAUGACCA
RNAcentral lists this unclassified non-coding RNA (194 nucleotides) under uncultured Bolbitiaceae. RNAcentral's name for it is "sequence contains ITS2". The record is from RNAcentral. Lineage: Eukaryota; Fungi; Basidiomycota; Agaricomycetes; Agaricales; Bolbitiaceae. RNAcentral also lists the same sequence under 1 other name.